GCCUUAGUGGUUUAGUGGUCAGCACGCUCGACGCGUAUUCGAGAGGUCCGUGGUUCGAGUCCCAGCGAGGGCA
Non-coding RNA from Stegodyphus mimosarum, 73 nucleotides. Lineage: Eukaryota; Metazoa; Arthropoda; Arachnida; Araneae; Eresidae. The record is from Rfam.